Cyanistes caeruleus (blue tit) is the source of this 1744-nucleotide non-coding RNA. NCBI's taxonomy places the organism in Eukaryota, Metazoa, Chordata, Aves, Passeriformes, Paridae. The record is from RefSeq and is a predicted model, not a curated record.
UUUCUCCCAAAUUUGCCCUAAACCAGGACAAGGGAUCAGAGCAUGCUAUAGAAUAGGAAUUAUCAAAUUAUAGAUUACAACUUUCCAGAAGCAAUCUCUGAGGUGUCAACAUAUUUUACAAUCUUCUGGGGUCUUUCGAUGGCAGCACUGAAUAUUAACAAUCUGCUUGUCUAUUUUCCUUAUAGGCAACAAAUCUGCUUUCAUUUUGCUGAAACAGGGCUAUGACAAAAGCGAUUACAAGAGCUGCAUCACUUAAUUUUGAUGAGCUCUUCCAUCAAGCUGCACAGGACUUCAUCUGCUUGGGAGAUGUGAUUCCUGAAGGUGGACGCUGAUGGAGAGAAGGAAGAAUAAGCUGUUGGUUUUACAGCUCCUUGCAGUGAAAAUGAAUCAGUAAUAAGAAUCUGUUUCUGGAAACAGAACAGAACUUCGGCUGACACUUUCCCAAAGAACUCAACCAUUUCCAACCACUGGGAGAUAUGGCAGGGAGGACAGGGGCCAAGUGCAUGGCAAGUUCAGUUCUUGUUUGGUAACUGCCAAGUUGCUCCAAACGCAGCUCUUGAAAACUAAUCUGGAAGGAAUUUUCCUGUAAUGGUGACUCAUGUUUUUAUGGAAUUGUUUUUGCAAUUCUGAUUUCUCAGAUGGUCUUAAAAGUAACUAUAGUCUUAGUGUCAUUUGGUUCUGCAGGAACACACAUAGAACAUAACACGGAAAAAAUUAAAUGGGAGGUGGCAAAAGCAAUUAUCAAGAUGCAAUGAAGCCACCCUUCCUUCUCCCACUAGCACUGCUGUGCAUAAGCAGGUACUUCCUGUGCAUGGGGAUAGAGAGGACACCUAUCAGUAAGACACGUCACAAGGACUCCUAAACUUGUGACAGAAGAGAGAAAAUGGAAAAGGGGGGAAAUAGAAGGGAAGUGUAUCCUCCUUACACCCUCUUUGUUUUUCAUUGCCUACAAACAAGUCCCUCCCUCUCACAGCAGAGCAGUUCAGCUGUGCUACUCCAUUCCUUCUCAGCUUCCUUCUCCUUUAUACAGGAGUUUAUAAGCCACUGCUCUGCCUCACCAGUCUGAUUUACUUAAUCCAGCUAUGAAAAGCAGGAAAAGCUGUCACAGUCUAUUUGCAUCUCAGAUUCACAUGACAAUGUACUCUGUGAUUUAAGCUUUAUUUCAUGAACUCAUUAAGAAAUUCAACAAGCAAACCUGACAAACUGGGUCUCAACCCCCUUUGAUCCAGACUAGUCUAUCAUGUGAAUUCCCUGAUUCACCAUUCCAAUCUUGAGGUCAGCAACAGCCUGUGCAAGGGUGAGGCAACAGCUCAGGGAUUUCUGUGGCUAUAGCAUUUACUAUAAUAGGACAACAUUUACUGGAAUAGAAUAUUCACAUUUAAUAGAAUAGGAGAAUAUUUAAUAGAAUAAUUGUAUUUCUCAUUUUAUUAGAGGGAGCAAAAAUUAUCUUAUCUUUAAAUCCUACUACGGGGUAAUUUCCGUGUUAAAAUCUAUGAUUUAUGGUUUUUUCCCCCGCAGCACUCUAAUAAAAUUCUGUUUAUAAACAUAAUUAAAUGUCAUAGAUGUAGCUAAUUUAGAAAUACUCUAAAUGUAUGAACCUUUAUAACACUCUAUAUUGUAACUUUAUUGAAAUGCCAUGAUUCAUAGCAGUAAUAAUUUACUUGCUGUUUUUCAAUAUGUUGAUUAACAGAGAGCUAAAUUUGUAACUUCAUAAACAGCAGUGCAGUAAUGUGUAUGCUAGAAA